Molecule: small nuclear RNA, 18 nt
Filed under: Arabidopsis thaliana (thale cress)
Lineage: Eukaryota; Viridiplantae; Streptophyta; Magnoliopsida; Brassicales; Brassicaceae
Description: snRNA_17345
Source: RNAcentral
GUCGGAUGCGGAACGGAG